RNAcentral lists this ribosomal RNA (301 nucleotides) under uncultured bacterium. RNAcentral describes it as "partial 16S ribosomal RNA". It matches the Rfam family "Bacterial small subunit ribosomal RNA", at positions 509 to 809 of the family's 1533-position model. The record is from RNAcentral.
CAGCCGCCGCGGUAAUACGUAGGUGGCAAGCGUUGUCCGGAAUUAUUGGGCGUAAGGGGCUCGCAGGCGGUUUUCCAAGUUAGAUGUGAAAUUCCUGGGCUCAACCUGGGGACUGCAUUUGAUACUGGGAGGCUUGAGUAUGGAAGAGGGUCGUGGAAUUCCCAGUGUAGAGGUGAAAUUCGUAGAUAUUGGGAAGAACACCGGUGGCGAAGGCGGCGACCUGGUCCAUAACUGACGCUGAGGCGCGAAAGCGUGGGGAGCAAACAGGAUUAGAUACCCGUGUAGUCCCUGUCUCUUAUCC